GCUCCGUAGGUGAACCUGCGGAGGGAUCAUUAAAAAAAAGAGUUGCAAGACUCGAACACCAUCGUGAACAUACCUUCUCGUCGUUGCUUCGGCGAGGCCGCUCGUUCAGGGCGCCCGCCGGAGGACCGCCAAACUCUUGUUUUCUUAGCGUAUCUCUGAGUGGACCACAAACAAAAUGAAUCAAAACUUUCAACAACGGAUCUCUUGGUUCUG
Molecule: unclassified non-coding RNA, 213 nt
Filed under: plant metagenome
Description: partial contains small subunit ribosomal RNA, internal transcribed spacer 1, and 5.8S ribosomal RNA
Source: RNAcentral